CCUACGGUGCGCAGCAGUGAGGAAUAUUGGUCAAUGGGCGGGAGCCUGAACCAGCCAAGUCGCGUGAGGGAUGAAGGCCCUAUGGGUUGUAAACCUCUUUUGCCGGGGAGCAAAGUGGCGCACGUGUGCGGUGUGGAGAGUACCCGGAGAAAAAGCAUCGGCUAACUCCGUGCCAGCAGCCGCGGUAAUACGGAGGAUGAGAGCGUUAUCCGGAUUUAUUGGGUUUAAAGGGUGCGUAGGCGGACGCUUAAGUCAGCGGUAAAAGUGCGGGGCUCAACCUCGUCGGGCCGUUGAAACUGGGUGCCUUGAGUGGGCGAGAAGUACGCGGAAUGCGUGGUGUAGCGGUGAAAUGCAUAGAUAUCACGCAGAACUCCGAUUGCGAAGGCAGCGUGCCGGCGCCCAACUGACGCUGAAGCACGAAGGCGUGGGUAUCGAACAGGAUUAGAUACCCCAGUAGUC
This 459-nucleotide ribosomal RNA is filed under the name uncultured bacterium. RNAcentral describes it as "partial 16S ribosomal RNA". It matches the Rfam family "Bacterial small subunit ribosomal RNA", at positions 338 to 795 of the family's 1533-position model. The record is from RNAcentral.